GCUGAUGGAGGUUGCAAUGCAUUUUCAGGGAAUCCUGAGGAUAUGUUUAUAGCUUGUAACAGAGCACAAGGUGAGCAGCCCAGAAUACGGUCCUAAGAAAAAGGUGGUUCAUGGAAUAUGUUUCAAAGCUGUGGAUGAACACUAAGAUGUCACCAUUCUUCUCUGGAUGUUUUUUCCACAAAGAAAUUAUAAUAUGAGCAUUUCUGUUGAAUGAGUUGAAAUCUAAGGAAGAUGUUAUGAAGCUACCACUAUACCCAUGGUUUUGUCUUUGCAAGAUUCUACUGACAGCUGGAAGAAUGGAAACUGAAUAGAGGAAUGGAAGAGCUCCUGCCCACACAGAUCUUUUUCAGACCUUCAUUUCCCAGAAAGGAUGAACUACAAGCGAAGAAGAAUACAAAAAAGUGCCCAGAUCCAUGUUGAAGUGCCAAGGGAGAAUCCUCCAGGGGAAGUGCAGACAUGCUGUGAGAAUGCCUUCCUUUCCUUCCUUCCUUCCUUCCUUCCUUCCUUCCUUC
Lonchura striata (white-rumped munia) is the source of this 512-nucleotide long non-coding RNA. RefSeq lists it as uncharacterized. The record is from RefSeq and is a predicted model, not a curated record. Lineage: Eukaryota; Metazoa; Chordata; Aves; Passeriformes; Estrildidae.